RNAcentral lists this transfer-messenger RNA (352 nucleotides) under Candidatus Hydrogenedentes bacterium ADurb.Bin101. RNAcentral describes it as "transfer-messenger RNA, SsrA". It matches the Rfam family "transfer-messenger RNA". Rfam says of the family: Bacterial tmRNA, also known as 10Sa RNA or SsrA, is named for its dual tRNA and mRNA-like properties. Its role is to liberate the mRNA from a stalled ribosome. To accomplish this part of the tmRNA is used as a reading frame that ends in a translation stop signal. Lineage: Bacteria; Pseudomonadati; Candidatus Hydrogenedentota. RNAcentral also lists the same sequence under 2 other names. The record is from RNAcentral.
GGGGGCGACAUGGUUUCGACGGUGGUGGAUGAAGUAGGAGCAGCGUGUCGAGGUCCCCGGUGGCCUCGUAAAAAACCGGGACAAUUUAACUGCGAACCAAAACUUCGCUCUUGCUGCCUAAUUUAGUGCAGCACGUUUCUGCCGCGACCGCCUGCUAGCGGUCAGGAACGACAACAGCGGGCCUCAAACCGGGAGUUGACGGCGUACCGGCGCGAGUACGCAGUCGUCUAGCGAUGCCGGAAAGCGAGUCUGACGCGUUCCGGAAGGGCGAAUCCUAAAAGAAAGACUACGCACGUAGAUACUCCUGCGGAAACGCUAUCGGACGCGGGUUCGAUUCCCGCCGCCUCCACCA